RNAcentral lists this ribosomal RNA (415 nucleotides) under uncultured bacterium. RNAcentral describes it as "bacterial SSU rRNA". It matches the Rfam family "Bacterial small subunit ribosomal RNA", at positions 473 to 886 of the family's 1533-position model. The record is from RNAcentral.
CGGUACCUGAAGAAUAAGCACCGGCUAACUACGUGCCAGCAGCCGCGGUAAUGCGUAGGGUGCAAGCGUUAAUCGGAAUUACUGGGCGUAAAGCGUGCGCAGGCGGCUUUGCAAGACAGAUGUGAAAUCCCCGGGCUCAACCUGGGAACUGCAUUUGUGACUGCAAGGCUAGAGUACGGUAGAGGGGAGUGGAAUUCCGCGUGUAGCAGUGAAAUGCGUAGAUAUGCGGAGGAACACCUUAUNGCGAANGCAGCUCCCUGGACCUGUACUGACGCUCAUGCACGAAAGCGUGGGGAGCAAACAGGAUUAGAUACCCUGGUGGUCCACGCCCUAAACGAUGUCAACUGGUUGUUGGGAGGGUUUCUUCUCANUAACGUAGCUAACGCGUGAAGUUGACCGCCCUGGGGAGUACGGG